AAGGCCUUCGGGUUGUAAACCGCUUUUGUCCGUGAAGAAAUAAAGCUCUUUUAAUACCUGGAGAUAAUGACGGUACCUGAAGAAUAAGCACCGGCUAACUACGUGCCAGCAGCCGCGGUAAUACGUAGGGUGCGAGCGUUAAUCGGAAUUACUGGGCGUAAAGCGUGCGCAGGCGGUCAUGCAAGACAGAUGUGAAAUCCCCGGGCUCAACCUGGGAACUGCAUUUGUGACUGCAUGACUUGAGUACGGCAGAGGGGGAUGGAAUUCCGCGUGUAGCAGUGAAAUGCGUAGAUAUGCGGAGGAACACCGAUGGCGAAGGCRRUCCCCUGGUCCUGUACUGACGCUCAKGCACGAAAGCGUGGGGAGCAAACAGGAUUAGAUACCCUGGUAGUCCACGCCCUAAACGAUGUCAASWGGUUGUUGGGAGGGUUUCUUCUCAGURRCGAAGCUAACGC
This 455-nucleotide ribosomal RNA is filed under the name uncultured bacterium. Its description in RNAcentral is "bacterial SSU rRNA". It matches the Rfam family "Bacterial small subunit ribosomal RNA", at positions 411 to 858 of the family's 1533-position model. The record is from RNAcentral.